This 789-nucleotide ribosomal RNA is filed under the name uncultured bacterium. Its description in RNAcentral is "bacterial SSU rRNA". It matches the Rfam family "Bacterial small subunit ribosomal RNA", at positions 8 to 796 of the family's 1533-position model. The record is from RNAcentral.
AGAGUUUGAUCAUGGCUCAGAGCGAACGCUGGCGGCGUGCUUAACACAUGCAAGUCGAGUGCGCGUUUUCGUAGCAAUACGGAAAUGGNNCACGGCGCACGGGUGCGUAACACGUGGGUAUCUGCCCUCUGAUGGGGAAUAACUCGCCGAAAGGCGAGCUAAUUCCGCAUAACAUUCCUUGGACUCCGGUCCGAGGAUUCAAAGGCGUAAGUCGUCGGAGGUGGAGCCCGCGCACGAUUAGCUAGUUGGUGAGGUAAUGGCUCACCAAGGCUAUGAUCGUUAGCUGGUCUGAGAGGAUGGCCAGCCACACUGGAACUGAGACACGGUCCAGACUCCUACGGGAGGCAGCAGUGGGGAAUCUUGCACAAUGGGCGAAAGCCUGAUGCAGCGACGCCGCGUGGGGGAUGAAGCUUCUCGGAGUGUAAACCCCUUUCGACCGGGACGAAUACCUCGCAAGAGGGGUGACGGUACCGGUAUAAGAAGCCCCGGCUAACUACGUGCCAGCAGCCGCGGUAAGACGUAGGGGGCCAGCGUUGCUCGGAAUUACUGGGUGUAAAGGGUUCGUAGGCGGUGUGGCAAGUCGGGAGUGAAAUCCCUGGGCUCAACCCAGGGGCUGCUUCCGAAACUGCUGUGCUAGAGUGUGGGAGAGGCGCGUGGAAUUGCAGGUGUAGCGGUGAAAUGCGUAGAUAUCUGCAGGAACACCCGUGGCGAAAGCGGCGCGCUGGACCACUACUGACGCUGAGGAACGAAAGCUAGGGGAGCAAACAGGAUUAGAUACCCUAGUAGUCC